Pelobates cultripes (western spadefoot toad) is the source of this 407-nucleotide non-coding RNA. The record is from the annotation of a GenBank genome assembly. Lineage: Eukaryota; Metazoa; Chordata; Amphibia; Anura; Pelobatidae.
GGAAGGUGAUUUGUAAGUAAACUGUAGUAGUUCCCACAAGACUUGGCAAAUAGUAGUCACUCAUGUUAUUGUAUUAGCUACUCUGCAAACAGCAUACAUGUGAUGUUCUAAAGAGACAGUUCUUAGGUUUAACCUUUAUAGUACUUUUUAACCUGCAUAACCUUUUAACCUGUAAAACCCUUUUCUUUUCUUCAAACAAGUGAAAGUAUAUAUCAUCUUCAUUACAUUUUUAGAUUGGAGGAAUAGUCCUAAAACCUUACAAGUUCGGUAUAUUUUUGUCUUUUAACCCCUUAAGGACUGAGCAAAUUGUGCAAGUUAUGAUCAAAACAGAACUUAGAAUUUGAGCUAUAUGUUUGUUCAAUCAUAAUUUACUUAUUUCAUAUUAAGUACACCCACACUUAUUAUAC